This 194-nucleotide ribosomal RNA is filed under the name uncultured bacterium. Its description in RNAcentral is "partial 16S ribosomal RNA". It matches the Rfam family "Bacterial small subunit ribosomal RNA", at positions 338 to 524 of the family's 1533-position model. The record is from RNAcentral.
CCUACGGGAGGCAGCAGUGGGGAAUAUUGGACAAUGGGCGCAAGCCUGAUCCAGCCAUGCCGCGUGUGUGAAGAAGGCCUUCGGGUUGUAAAGCACUUUUGUUGGGGAAGAAACCGGUCGGAUUAAUACUUCGGCUGAAUGACGGUACCCAAAGAAUAAGCACCGGCUAACUUCGUGCCAGCAGCCGCGGUAAU